ACAUGCGCAGGAGGCUCAAUGACAGUCGAGCUUUGGCUAAGGCUCCGGGGAAAGGGUCUAGCCAUGCUGCAUGUGACCCGGGGGGUCUGGGGGUCCAGGGUCCGAGUAUGGCCACUGUUGCCCGCGCUCCUCGGGCCCCCCCGGGCCCUCUCAUCGCUGGCAGCCAAAAUGGGGGAGUAUCGCAAGAUGUGGAACCCCAGGGAGCCCCGCGACUGGGCCCAGCAGUACCGCGAGCGCUUCAUUCCCUUCUCCAAGGAGCAGCUGCUCCGCCUCCUAAUACAGGAAUUCCACUCGAGUCCGGCAGAGAAGGCGGCUUUGGAGGCGUUCUCGGCCCACGUGGACUUCUGCACCCUGUUCCACUACCACCAAAUCCUGGCCCGGCUGCAGGUGAGGACGGGGCCCUUCCAGCCCUGUGGUGCUUGUUCGCGCAUCCGCUCAUUUAGCAAACAUUCCCUGACACCUUCUUGGAGCCUGGCCCUUAUUUUAAGUGCUGGGGAUUCAACAGUGAACAUGACAGGUGAAGUGACGCCCUCAUGGAGCCAACAUUCCAACUGGGGAGACGAGGAAUCAAAUAAAUAUAAAA
Molecule: small RNA, 583 nt
Filed under: Pan troglodytes (chimpanzee)
Lineage: Eukaryota; Metazoa; Chordata; Mammalia; Primates; Hominidae
Description: retained intron
Source: RNAcentral